Molecule: long non-coding RNA, 248 nt
Filed under: Mytilus galloprovincialis (Mediterranean mussel)
Lineage: Eukaryota; Metazoa; Mollusca; Bivalvia; Mytilida; Mytilidae
Source: RNAcentral
AUCUAUUCUAUUCAAUCUGUACAAAAAGUCGUACAUUGUAAGAGAUGUUGAGUUGUUAUCAAUGUGUAUACGUUAUACUAUGCCCUUUACUUAAUCCCUUUUACCGGUUUACAUGUAAGAAAAAUGAUUGAUUGCUGGUUUAAAGGUUGCUAAACGUCCAGCGGCAAAUAUAUAAUGCAUAUAAGGGAUAAGAAAGCAUAAGAUAUACAUACUAUAUGCAUGUAUUAAAGUAGAGGCCGUCUGGGAUG